UAACGAAUCUUCCGCAAUGGGCGAAAGCCUGACGGAGCAAUGCCGCGUGUGGGAUGAAGCAUCUAUGGUGUGUAAACCACUGUCAGGGGGCGGAAACAAUGAUUGCCCCCGAGAGGAAGUGGCGACUAACUCUGUGCCAGCAGUCGCGGUAAUACAGAGGCCACAAGCGUUAAUCGGAAUCACUGGGCUUAAAGGGUGCGUAGGCGGAUUUGCAAGCGUCUUGUGAAAGCCCCCGGCUCAACCGGGGAACUGCAGGGCGAACUGCAAGUCUUGAGGCAGGUAGGGGCCGCGAGAACAGUAGGUGGAGCGGUGAAAUGCGUAGAUAUCUACUGGAAUGCCGAUGGGGAAGCCGCGCGGCUGGGCCUGACCUGACGCUGAGGCACGAAAGCGUGGGGAGCAAAC
This 402-nucleotide ribosomal RNA is filed under the name uncultured bacterium. RNAcentral describes it as "bacterial SSU rRNA". It matches the Rfam family "Bacterial small subunit ribosomal RNA", at positions 355 to 773 of the family's 1533-position model. The record is from RNAcentral.